CACGGAGUUAGCCGAUCCUUAUUCUUCCGGUACAUUCAGCUCUGCUCACGAGCAGAGGUUUAUUCCCGGAUAAAAGCAGUUUACAACCCAUAGGGCAGUCUUCCUGCACGCGGCAUGGCUGGUUCAGAGUUGCCUCCAUUGACCAAUAUUCCUUACUGCUGCCUCCCGUAGGAGUCUGGUCCGUGUCUCAGUACCAGUGUGGGGGCCAUCCUCUCAGAUCCCCUAGUCAUCGUCGCCUUGGUGGGCCGUUACCCGCCAACUAGCUAAUGACACGCAUGCCCAUCUCCAUCCCAUAAAUGUUUGAUCAUUGGAUAAUGCCAUCCUGUGAUUUUAUGCGGUAUUAAUCCCGGAUUUCUCCGGGCUAUCCCCCUGACUGAAGGUAGGUUGCAUACGCGUUACGCACCCGUGCGCCACUUUCUCUUCCAGCAAGCUGGAAAUAUCGUUCGACUUGCAUGUAUUAGGCCUGCCGCUACGCGUUCAU
RNAcentral lists this ribosomal RNA (481 nucleotides) under uncultured Pedobacter sp. RNAcentral describes it as "partial 16S ribosomal RNA". The record is from RNAcentral. Lineage: Bacteria; Pseudomonadati; Bacteroidota; Sphingobacteriia; Sphingobacteriales; Sphingobacteriaceae.